GGAGAGAUUCAGUCACUGGUGUGGCUCGCGGUCUUCAAAACCGUGGCGUGGGACCGUGUCUCAUGGGUAGGUUCGAUUCCUGCAUCUCUCCGUCCA
This 96-nucleotide transfer RNA is filed under the name Gemmatimonadota bacterium. Its description in RNAcentral is "tRNA-Sec". It matches the Rfam family "Selenocysteine transfer RNA". The record is from RNAcentral. Lineage: Bacteria; Pseudomonadati; Gemmatimonadota.